This is a small nuclear RNA of Molossus molossus (Pallas's mastiff bat), 188 nucleotides long. RefSeq annotates it as U2 spliceosomal RNA. Lineage: Eukaryota; Metazoa; Chordata; Mammalia; Chiroptera; Molossidae. The record is from RefSeq and is a predicted model, not a curated record. The transcript has a single exon.
AUCGCUUCUCUGCCUUUUGGCUGAGAUCAAGUGUAGGGUCUGUUAUCAGUUUGGUGUCUUAUGUGUCCUCUAUCCGAGGACAAUGUAUUGAAUGGAUUUUUGGGAUUGGGGGAUGGAGUGGGAGCUUGUUCUGUCCGCUUCACGCAUCGACCUGGUGUUGUGGUACCUCCAGGAACGGUACACUAAAG